This is a long non-coding RNA of Seriola aureovittata, 450 nucleotides long. RefSeq lists it as uncharacterized. The record is from RefSeq and is a predicted model, not a curated record. The transcript has 2 exons. Lineage: Eukaryota; Metazoa; Chordata; Actinopteri; Carangiformes; Carangidae.
ACGACGCAUCUGUAAUUAUUCAGAGGACUAAAGACUCUCGACAUUCAAGAGGAAUUUCUUUCGCAGGGGCAGAAAAAAUCAAUAAGGGUUAAUGUGUUAACAGUCAUUUGUUUGCACAUCCAACAGAAACAGAGCAACAUCAGCAUUCAUCUGAAGCGGUGUUUGUGUCCAUCUGAUGAAUGCAGGUUGCUGCGAUUCAUAUUACCGUCCUGGGUGCAAGCAAAGCUGGAAGGCGGGCGAGAGGGAGUCGUGGUAUCGACGGGAGCAGGAAGGAAAACGAGAGGAAUGUAUUCAAGUUACAAGAAAAUAGCAUUUCACUGGUGUUCUGCUUCUGUAGCUGGAUGUAUUCUCAGUCGAAGCAGGGAUGGAGCGCGGGGACAGAACACGAGGAGAGGCUCUUCACGAGUCUUCAAAUGCUUGUUGAAUGAAUAAACCCCAGACAAUGAGAAA